This 519-nucleotide ribosomal RNA is filed under the name uncultured fungus. RNAcentral describes it as "SSU rRNA". It matches the Rfam family "Eukaryotic small subunit ribosomal RNA", at positions 209 to 728 of the family's 1831-position model. The record is from RNAcentral. Lineage: Eukaryota; Fungi.
AUUAGAUAAAAAACCAAUGCCCUUCGGGGCUUUCUGGUGAUUCAUAAUAACUUAACGAAUCGCAUGGCCUUGAGCCGGCGAUGGUUCAUUCAAAUUUCUGCCCUAUCAACUUUCGAUUGUAGGAUAGAGGCCUACAAUGGUUUCAACGGGUAACGGAGAAUUAGGGUUCGAUUCCGGAGAGGGAGCCUGAGAAACGGCUACCACAUCCAAGGAAGGCAGCAGGCGCGCAAAUUACCCAAUCCCGACACGGGGAGGUAGUGACAAUAGAUACUGAUACAGGGCUCUUUUGGGUCUUGUAAUUGGAAUGAGUACAAUUUAAAUCCCUUAACGAGGAACAAUUGGAGGGCAAGUCUGGUGCCAGCAGCCGCGGUAAUUCCAGCUCCAAUAGCGUAUAUUAAAGUUGUUGCAGUUAAAAAGCUCGUAGUUGAACCUUGGGUCUGGCUGGCCGGUCCGCCUCACCGCGUGCACUGGUCCGGCCCGGACCUUUCCUCUUGGGGAUCCGCAUGCCCCUUUACUGGG